Molecule: ribosomal RNA, 114 nt
Filed under: Acanthosepion pharaonis
Lineage: Eukaryota; Metazoa; Mollusca; Cephalopoda; Sepiida; Sepiidae
Source: RNAcentral
UUACGGCCUUAUCACAUUAUGACACCGGCUCCCGUACGGUCACUGAAGUUAAGCAAUGUCGAGCCUGAUCAAUGCCGAGAUGGGUGACCGCUUAAGAAUACCAGGUACUGUAAG